UUCCGGUUGAUCCCGCCGGACCUGACUGCUAUCGGAUUGAUACUAAGCCAUGCAAGUCUUUGUAGUAAUACAAGGCGUACGGCUCAGUAACGCGUAGUCAACCUACCCUAUGGAUGGGGAUAAUCUCGGGAAACUGAGCAUAAUACCCAAUAGAUCAUCAAUUCUGGAAUGGUUGAUGAUUCAAAUGAUUUUUCGCCAUAGGAUGGGACUGCGGCCUAUCAGCUUGUUGGUGAGGUAAUGGCCCACCAAGGCAAUUACAGGUACGGGCUCUGAGAGGAGAAGCCCGGAGAUGGGUACUGAGACAAGGACCCAGGCCCUAUGGGGCGCAGCAGGCGAGAAAACUUUGCAAUGUGCGAAAGCACGACAAGGUUAAUCCGAGUGAUUUCUGCUAAAGGAAUCUUUUACCAGUUCUAAAAAUACUGGCGAAUAAGGGGUGGGCAAGUUCUGGUGUCAGCCGCCGCGGUAAAACCAGCACCUCAAGUGGUCAGGAGGAUUAUUGGGCCUAAAGCAUCCGUAGCCGGCUCUGUAAGUUUUCGGUUAAAUCUAUAUGCUCAACGUAUAGGCUGCCGAAAAUACUGCACAGCUAGGGAAUGGGAGAGAUAGACGGUACUCGGUAGGAAGGGGUAAAAUCCUUUGAUCUAUCGAUGACCACCUGUGGCGAAGGCGGUCUACCAGAACAUGUUCGACGGUGAGGGAUGAAAGCUGGGGGAGCAAACCGGAUUAGAUACCCGGGUAGUCCCAGCUGUAAACGAUGCAGACUCGAUAAUGCAUUGGCACAUAGCCAGUGCAGUGUCGCAGGGAAGCCGUUAAGUCUGCCGCCUGGGAAGUACGUACGCAAGUAUGAAACUUAAAGGAAUUGGCGGGGGAGCACCACAAGGGGUGAAGCCUGCGGUUCAAUUGGAGUCAACGCCGGA
RNAcentral lists this ribosomal RNA (914 nucleotides) under uncultured archaeon. RNAcentral's name for it is "bacterial SSU rRNA". It matches the Rfam family "Archaeal small subunit ribosomal RNA", at positions 1 to 922 of the family's 1478-position model. The record is from RNAcentral.